Molecule: ribosomal RNA, 254 nt
Filed under: uncultured bacterium
Lineage: Bacteria
Description: partial 16S ribosomal RNA
Rfam family: Bacterial small subunit ribosomal RNA
Source: RNAcentral
UACAGAGGUCCCGAGCGUUGUUCGGAUUCAUUGGGCGUAAAGGGUGCGUAGGCGGCGGGGCAAGUCUGAUGUGAAAUCCCGGGGCUCAACCCCGGAACUGCAUUGGAUACUGCCUUGCUAGAGUACUGGAGAGGGAACUGGAAUUUACGGUGUAGCAGUGAAAUGCGUAGAGAUCGUAAGGAAGGCCAGUGGCGGAAGGCGAGUUCCUGGACAGUUACUGACGCUGAGGCACGAAGGCCAGGGGAGCAAACGGG